RNAcentral lists this signal recognition particle RNA (265 nucleotides) under Firmicutes bacterium HGW-Firmicutes-14. RNAcentral describes it as "signal recognition particle sRNA large type". It matches the Rfam family "Bacterial large signal recognition particle RNA". Rfam says of the family: The signal recognition particle (SRP) is a universally conserved ribonucleoprotein involved in the co-translational targeting of proteins to membranes. Archaeal SRP consists of a 7S RNA and homologues of the eukaryotic SRP19 and SRP54 proteins. Lineage: Bacteria; Bacillati; Bacillota. The record is from RNAcentral.
CCGUGCUACAUGGGGAGGUAGCGGUGCCCUGUACCUGCAAUCCGCUAUAGCAGGGUGGAAUUCCUGUCCCCGGCAGUAUUUCUUAAGGUCUGACCGCCGCAAGUGGCGUUGAAGACCGGGUCUUACGCAACGUGAACCCGUGAACCCCGUCAGGUCCGGAAGGAAGCAGCGGUAAGCGGGCCUCCGCGUGUGCCGUGAGGGUGCCUGGUCCGAGUUAACUGCUCCGGUAACGCUUGGGGAAUAACUGUCAAAGACAGGUGCACGG